Molecule: small nucleolar RNA, 132 nt
Organism: Grammomys surdaster
Lineage: Eukaryota; Metazoa; Chordata; Mammalia; Rodentia; Muridae
Source: RefSeq, a predicted model, not a curated record
ACACUGCCUUUGAGCCCCCGCACACCUUCUUGUGGUGCUGGGGGUUAAGCUGUGGCGUCAUGGCACACUGCUGGCGCGUAACUGGAGCUGCCUGCCCUUUGUAGGUGGCCCUUUUAACCGCUAGCUACAGGC